UAACGGCUCACCAAGGCUUCGACGGGUAGCUGGUCUGAGAGGACGAUCAGCCACACUGGGACUGAGACACGGCCCAGACUCCUACGGGAGGCAGCAGUGGGGAAUCUUGCACAAUGGGCGAAAGCCUGAUGCAGCAACGCCGCGUGAGGGACGAAGGCUUUCUGAGUUGUAAACCUCUUUCAGCAGGGACGAUUGUGACGGUACCUGCAGAAGAAGCCCCGGCCAACUACGUGCCAGCAGCCGCGGUAAUACGUAGGGGGCAAGCGUUGUCCGGAUUUAUUGGGCGUAAAGAGCUCGUAGGCGGCUUGGCAAGUCGGAUGUGAAACCUCCAGGCUCAACCUGGAGUCGCCAUUCGAUACUGCCAUGGCUAGAGUUUGGUAGGGGACCACGGAAUUCCUGGUGUAGCGGUGAAAUGCGCAGAUAUCAGGAGGAACACCAGCGGCGAAGGCGGUGGUCUGGGCCAAUACUGACGCUGAGGAGCGAAAGCGUGGGGAGCGAACAGGAUUAGAUACCCUGGUAGUCCACGCCGUAAACGUUGGGCACUAGGUGUGGGGACCUAUCGACGGUUUCUGUGCCGCAGCUAACGCAUUAAGUGCCCCGCCUGGGGAGUACGGCCGCAAGGCUAAAACUCAAAGGAAUGA
This 641-nucleotide ribosomal RNA is filed under the name uncultured bacterium. Its description in RNAcentral is "bacterial SSU rRNA". It matches the Rfam family "Bacterial small subunit ribosomal RNA", at positions 258 to 912 of the family's 1533-position model. The record is from RNAcentral.